This 348-nucleotide long non-coding RNA is filed under the name Pan troglodytes (chimpanzee). RNAcentral's name for it is "long non-coding RNA NONPTRT000358". Lineage: Eukaryota; Metazoa; Chordata; Mammalia; Primates; Hominidae. The record is from RNAcentral.
GUUUAAGGUCACACAGCACUAAGAUCAGAACUAGAGCUUAGGUUUUUUUUUUCUGCUUCUGAAACCUAUGUUUUUCUUGGCACAUUAAGUCAUUAUAAUCUAUAGUUUCCUCAGACAGGAAGUGUAAAGAACACAGAAAAGCAAGAAUUAAAUUCUGGGGUGGCUCAGAAAUUUGGAGAAAAAGAAAAAGAGCAAGUAAAAUCACAAGCAAGUACAAAGAAUACUAAAAUGAACUCAGCAAACAAGGAAGAAGAAAGUUUUAAGGAAAAAGCUGAACAAACAUACAAGGUUCAAAGACAUUGCUGAUUCUCUAAAUUUGGUGUUAACAAUAAAACACAGUGUUUUGAC